Long non-coding RNA from Sinocyclocheilus rhinocerous, 341 nucleotides. RefSeq lists it as uncharacterized. The record is from RefSeq and is a predicted model, not a curated record. The transcript is spliced from 3 exons. Lineage: Eukaryota; Metazoa; Chordata; Actinopteri; Cypriniformes; Cyprinidae.
UCGUGACCGUUGUUGGGAAAACAUUAUUUAACAGUAGGUGAUGGCAGGCCUUGGACUGAAGGAGGGGGACAGAGUGCUGCUGAUAUGGACUCAGCCAUCAUCACCUACUGCACUGAAGGAGUUUGCUGAAAGCACUGGCACUGCUGUUGGUAACCAGAGUCUGGUAUCUUUGGAGAACAUGGAGAGACUACAACUUUCUUCUCACGCAGCUUCAAGUUAUGAAUGGGUUCUCUCAGGCCUGCUGACCGACAGCUCACCAAUCCACAGUUCAGAAAUGUUGGCUGAGAUGGCCAGAGUAAUGAAACCUGGUGGCAAACUUGUGCUAGAAGAGCCGGUAACAG